CUAAAUGAGUUUUUUUAUCAAGUUAAGCAUUAUUAAUUGUUAAACCAUUCGGAACCAGUAUGUGACAAGACUAGGCGCCAAGAACAUCACAUAAUUAAUCUACAUUAUUGAUUUCCAUUUAUGAAACUUGCAAGAAAUUGAGCAACAUGUUGAGAAGUACAAAGAUUUAACAUCAUUGUUCAUUUGGAUUAAUACCCAUCCUGGUAAAAACCUCUUGACAAAGAUCUAAGCUGUUGUCACAAAGGAGAUUAUAAACUCCUUCACAACCUCACAAAGGACUUUAGUUUUGGGAAACUCGAACAUGUCAAUUCCAUGAUAACCUCCUUCAACAAAAUUAGCCACCACGUGAACACCCUCGCCUUCUAACAUUUUGGCAAUCUCAAAUUGGCGAUCAAACAAUGCAUCAUUUUCAUAUCCUGCCAUUAAAACCUUCCAUCCUAAAGCUUUAAUCUGAUCGAAUUGUCCAGGCUUGAUGCUCAAAACUGGAUUAGAAAAUUCAUGAUCUCGGUCAGCACCUAAGGGCAAUGAAAGUUCCCACAAGACAUCAGUAGCACAGGGCGGUAUAAACGUGUCAUUCAGAGCCCUCAACUCCGAUUCUGUCCUCUUCUUGCCACCAAAAAAUGCUUGGUGCAAAAUCAACCCUUUAAUAUUCAAAGGCUUUAGAUCAUCAACACAUGAAGAUGCACUCAAACCAACAUGAUAGGCAAUGUUUCCCCCAGAACUACUGCCCAUGAGGAAACUGUUUGAUAAAUCUGCAUACUUUUCCAACCAUUCGUCUUGUGAAUUCUUGAUCCAGUGCAAAGCUUCCAAGCAAUCUUCGUAGGCUGCCGGCAGCCUGUGCUCUGGGGCAAGACGAUGCUCGAUUGAUACGAUAACAAACGGGACCUCAGUAGCUAAAGCUCUAUGAAAAUCAUCAAAACCGGUCGUGGCCACGCUGCAAAUCACGAAUCCUCCACUAUGAAAGUAAAUCAGGAGCGGAAGUUUCCUGCCCGGGAAGGAUUCAAGUGCUUCUUUCGGUAGGAAUAUACGGGCACCAGUGUUCUUGGAUUGGUUAAUGGGGACAUCUUUGACAAGAAGGAUAGGGCUGCCAUCAUAGGAGGAGACGGGUGUUUUUGGAUGUUCAAAUUGACGCGUGACUGAACCGUCGGGGUUCCGGACUAAGCCCAUAUGGCCAUAGGGAUCAACAUGAGGAUCAGCGAAUGAAAUUGCUGCAAUUGGAUCAGCCAUAAGGGAUCAGAAUUUUGACUGCCUUUUGGUGUAAGCUUUGGAGCUAGCGUUUAUGAGUUUGGCGUUAUUUGAAGACUUGGAAGUGCACAGAAAGAAAGGUUAAAGGGUCAUUUCGUUAGUUCCUUGAAAUUCAUACACUGCCACACGUUGUUUAUCAAUAUAAUUUAGUACGUCAUGAGCUGGGUUGAAAAGGCAGACACAAGAAGCUCAUAAAAGCGCAAGAUUUGAGAGGAAAAUGACGUCUGAAUUAUCUUCUUGAUGGGUCCAAUUUUCUUCUUUCUUUUAAUUGGUUUAUACUUGUAUAUAUCUAGCCAACCACCUUUGCGUUCAAUUUAAUUGCAUAGAAGAUUUUUUGUCCAACAUAGGGGUGUGGACGACGCGAGCGACUUGGUCAAAAAUUUUGCAAACUCGAUCUACUCAUUCUAUAUAACUAGUUGAAUUCGAGCAUCGGUAAUAAUUACUCGAGUACUCAACGAAUUUAAUCAAGUAUUUAUUUUAUUUAUAUAUUAUAUAUUUUAAUUAUGGAAUGAGUAUUAUGGAUCCGUAUUUUAAUAAAUUUACGUGAAGUAAUAUUUAGUAAAAAAAUGAUGAAUGAUAAAAUAAUAAUCUAAUAAAUCUAAAAUGUAAAAAAUUAAAAACAAGAGAAGAAAAAGUCGAGCUCGCGUAGCUCGAGUUUGAUAUGGCUUGUAGUUUACUCAAACUCAAACAAAUCGAGUUCGAUCUUAAUUUUUAUUAUGUCGAGUCGAGUUCGAGUUCGAGUUCAAAUACUCGUUCGAACUCGAGUUCAAGUUCAAAUAGCACUGAUAGUGAUUGAGUUCGAGCUCGAAUAUGGCUCAACUCGACUCGAUAGACUCCCGGUCCAACAUUGUCUCACCUUUCAUUAUAUUGUCAUUUAUCAUUCACAAACACCAGAUUUUAGAAUUUUUUUUUUGUUUCCUUAAAUUCUAAUAUCUAAUAAAAUGAUAAAAAAAAUUAAAAUAACACUAUAUAAUAGAAAACAAAAAAAAUAAAAUAGAAAUUUCACGAAAAAUCAUAAAAAUUUCAUCUCACUUUACUCUUUAAAAUUUGAGCAUCACUAUGGCCUCCAGAAACAAGCAUGAUUGUGGUCCGAGGAGCCAAUUGUGGUGCUCUGACACAGUUCGAUGCUCGGUGCUUUGUCUUAUGAUAUGUCACGCUUCUACUACCAUAGCCCUAAAUUGAAGAAGAAGGAGAAGCUCGGAAGAGCUGAGAGAGAGAGAAGAUUGAGGAGAAGUACAGAGAGUAGAGGAACUAGAGAGAGAAAGUAAGGGAAGAGGAAAAUGCAAUUGAUAUUCUCUUAUACCUCUUUUGCCAAUCAUACUGGUACAAAUAGGAUAACUAACUACCGCCACCCAAUUUCUGUUACAUCCCACGUGCUUAUUCCUAACUAACUCAACCAUUCAUACGACACCGUUCUACUUAUCCCCUCUUAUUACUAACAUUUCUCAAAACAACAGUGUUGCAUUACAAUUAUUCCUCAAAUAUCACCGUUACAAUCAUUGCUAAUUUGGCUUAGUUCUUCUGUCCUGACAUUACCUCCUGCACAAAGAAAAGUCUUGUCCUCAAGACUGAAAAUGAGGAAAUUGAGAUUGUAUGAAUUCCUUGUCUUCCCACGACACUUCCUCAGUUCCCAGUUGACAUCAUUUGAUUAAGAACUGGAUAACUGGCUGUCCAUUGCGCAUAAUGGCUCUCCUUUGCAACACAGUCUCUGGUUGCAAGGGACACUGAUCUAUACUGUCAAAUUCUGGCAAUGCUUCAGACACUUGUUGCACUGGCCCAAUCUUCUUCUUCAACAGGGAAACAUGGAACACAGGGUAAAUUCUGGCCCCUACAAGUAACCUGAGACGGUAUGCCACUGCUCCUAUUUUGGCUUCAACCUGGAAAGGUCCGUAGAACCUGGCAGCAAGUUUAAGGCAUUUCCUGAUAGCAACUGUCUGCUGCCUAUAGGGUUGUAGUUUGAGGAAGACCCAGUCUCCUACCUCAAAAGAUCGUUCAGUGCGCUGCUGAUCAGCAAAGAACUUCAUUCUCUGUUGUGCCUUAGUUAAGUGAUCUCUGAGACUACUAGAAAUUCUCACUUUUUCCUGAAGGAGCUGAGCUGCUGCAGGUAUAAUAGUGUCUAAGUAGGGACCAAGUGGCAAGGGAACAGGUUUAUAGCCAUAUAAGGCCUCAAAUGGAGUCAGCUGCAAACUGGAGUGGUAAGAAGAAUUGUACCACCAUUCUGCCAUUACCAGCCACCUGCUCCAAUGAGUUGGAAAUUCUCUAGUCAUACACCUGAGAUAAGAUUCAACACACUAGUUCAAUCUUUCGCUUUGCCUGUCUGAUUGAGGGUGGUAAGCUGAGCUAUAAUGCAAGUUAGUUCCCACUAAUUUGAACAAUUCUUGCCAAAAUGUACUGGUGAAGAUACUAUCCCUAUCAGUGACAAUAGACUCUAGUAGCCCGUGCAGUCUAAAAAUGCUGUCUAGGAAGACUUGAGCCACUUGCUUGGCAGAAAAUGGAUGAGCUAGUGCUAUGAAGUGUCCCACCUUGGUCAGCCUGUCAAUAACCACUAUGAUGGUAUCAUAACCCUGAGAAUUUGUAAACUCUCUAUGAAAUCCAUUGUCACAUGUGUCCAUGCCAAACGAGGGACAGGCAAGGGUUGUAACAGGCCAGGCAGAUGUACAUGUUCAGAUUUAUAUCUUUGACAAACAUCACAGGCCUGUAUGAACUGAAUAACUUCCUGCUUCAUUGUUGGCCAAUAGAAGAGAGAUUUAAUCCUCUGCCAAUAUCCCCUUUGACCUGAGUUGCCACCCACAGCAGAAGAGUGUAAUGCCUGUAUAAUCCUGGCCCUCAGACCAGUAGUUGACCCCACAUAGAUUUUACCAUGGUACUUCAGCAAAUCAUUGUUAAACUCAUACCUUGGUUGCGAGUUAGGAUCCAGGAGCAACUAAGAGAUGAUAUCCUUGCAGCGAGCAUCUGAGGAGUAGCUUUCCUGCAGUUCCUGUAUCCAAUUUGGUUUAACUGUUGACAAUGCUAGACAUGACCCUAUAGUAGUGGGGUGAGGCUGCCCCCUUCGUGUAAUCUGGACAAGGCAUCUGCCACCUUAUUUUCCACCCCCUUUUGUAUUGAAUUUCAUAAUCUAGACCCAACAGUUUGGUGAACCACUUGUGUUGCAGUGCAGUUGUAAGUUUCUGAUCCAACAGAUAUUUUAGUGACUAAUGAUUAGUCUUGAUAAUAAAGUGAUACCCCACCAAGUAGUGUCUCCACUUAGUUACUGCCAUUACCAAAGCCAGCAAUUCCUUUUCAUAGGCUAAUAGUCCCAGAUUUUUUGGAGACAAUGCUUUGCUAAGGAAAGCUAUGGGAUGUACUUCUUACAUCAACACUGCCCCAAUUCCCCCUCCACUGGCAUCAGUCUCAAUGGUGAAUGGUUUCUGAAAGUCUGGUAGUUUAAGAACAAGUGCAGUGCACAUUAUGUUUUUCAGUGCAAGAAAGGCCUCUUGAGCCUCUGAACUCUAUGCGAAGCUGUCCUUUCUUAGUAAUUCAGUCAGGGGCUUGCAAAUGAUGCCACAAUGCUUGAUAAAGCUUCUAUAGUACCCUGUCAAUCCCAGGAAUCCCCUUAAUUCUUUCACUGUCCUUGGACUUGGCCAUUUUAAAAUACUAUCUAUUUUGGAACUGUCUAUUGACACCCCUUUUUCUGUUAUAAUGUGGCCAAGGUAAUCGACUGUUAACUGUGCAAAUGAGCACUUGGAACGUUUUGCAAACAGAUUAUGUUCCUUCAAAAUUGAUAAAACUGUUCUCAGAUGUUGCUAGUGUAGCUCUAAUGUAGGACUAUAGAUCAAUAUAUCAUAAAAAAAAUUAAAACAAAUUUUCUCAGGUAAGGCUGAAAUAUCUGAUUCAUGAGAGCCUGAAAUGUGGUUGGGGCGUUUGUCAGCCCAAAAGGCAUUACUAGAAACUCAUAAUGACUACAAGGUGUUUGGAAAGCAGUUUUGUAUGUAUCUUUAGGCUUGACCCUGAUCUGGUGGUAGCUUGUAGUAAGGUCCAACUUUGAUUUAUAUUUGCAUUCUGCUAGCUCAUUGAUUAGUUCAUCUACAUUGGGUAUGGUGGUACCUGUCCUUGAUGGUCAUCUCAUUCAGUCUUCUGUACUCUAUACAAAAACACCAGGUCCCUUCCUUCUUCUUAACAAGUAGAACUGGAGAAGCAAAGGGACUGUUACUGUUACUGUGAGUUAUGAUUCCAUGCUGCAACAUCUCCUUAACCUGUUGUUCAAUUUCCCCCUUUUGAGAGUGAGAGUAUCUAUAAGGCUUCAUCUUGAAGGGCUGAGAUUCAGGUUUUAGUGGUAUCUCAUGGUCUAUACUCCUUACUGGUGGUAACUCAAUGGGUGCUGCAAACGCAUCUGUGAAUUCUUCAAUAAUACCCUGGACUCCUGCAAAAAUGUCAUUUCCCUGCACCUGAUCACCCUAUCCUACUCUCAUGGACAUGCACAACUGUCUCUUGUAUUCAAUGAAUGUCCCCAGGUCACCUCUCCUGAUUAAAUCUAAGUCACAAUCUUCAACCUGACCAUGCAAGUGUACUGCUUCUUAUUGAUAUUGCAAAGAGAUAGUCAGCUUGUGGAAAUCAAAAGCGAUAGGGUUGAACUGAGUCAUCCAGUCCACCUCCAAUACUAUGUCCCAUCCAUGUAGAUCCAUUACUUUGAGGUCAUAGCAGAACCUAUGUUGAUUAAUCCCGCAUACCACCUUAGGACAUAUUGCCUUACUGGUUACACAGGCUCCAUUCCCCAUAACCACAGAAAAAGGAUUUACUAAUUUAGGAGGAAUGUCAAAGGCGAUUACCUUCUCACUGCUAAUGUAGCUAUCAAAGCUGCCUGUGUCCACCAGGAUCAGCAUUUCUUCCCCAUCCAGUCUUCCUACUAAUGUAGGGACAUCUCCAUGAAAUGCCCUGGAUUUCCUGUGGUUUCAUCUUGCUCCCCCAGUGUAUCUUCAAAUUUAGUGUCCUCUUCCUCAUCAUUGAUCAGGAAGUUCAGGUGGCUGAGUUUGCACUGAUGUCCCUGCCCAAACUUCUCUCCACACUUGAAGCAUAGGCCAUUGUUCCUUUUAUAUUGUAUUUCCUGUGCUAAAAUUCUUCUUGGUUCUGCUUUAGUAGUUGAAACAGGUUUGCCUUUGAAGUGAGUAUUUCUGAAUAAACUAAUAGGGGGUACUUUGUAAUGUGUAUUGUGACUCAACUGCUGAGAUGAACUUUUUGAGAUCCCAAACCUAUUCUCUAAGUUAGUUCUUACGUUCUCCUUAGGGUUCCUGGACUGCAGGUUCAACGCAUUCUCCUGCAAAAUUGCCAAUUCAAAAGUUUCAAAUAGAGAUGUAGGCUUUAACAUUCUGAUCAUAGUCUUGAUUUCAUUACCUUCAGUCCACUGAUGAAGCUUGAUAUGAAAUAUUCUUCACUCAGAUGUGGAUUCUUCACUAUCAUGAGAACCUUGAGCUCUUCAAACUUUUCCUGAUACUCCUCAACCUUUCCUAUUUGGUGCAAUUUGUUGAAUUCCUCCACAACAUCUUUACUUGCCUUGUUAUCGAACCUCCUACACAAUAAUUCUUCAAACAUCAGCCAUGUGAUUUCAGGUUUCUCCACUUUAACUCCCUGGAACCACCUGUCCGCCUUCCCUUCCAGAUACAUCUCGAUCACUUCCACCUUCUGUUCCUCAGGAAUUUGGUAGUUUACACAAUACUUGUUGCAUUUUCGGAUCCAUUCCCUUGGAUUUUCCCCAGAGAAUAGAGGCAAGUCAAUUUUUGAUGGAUUUGGAAUCAGGACCUUGUUUGUCUCUCUUCUUCCAGUCCUGUUGCUUUCAAAUCCAACUUGCAGCCUCUAACUAGGUAGUGGUGUCGGCAGCAGUGGUGGUUGAUCACUCAUGGUUCUUCCAGGCUCAUAAUUCAGCUUCUCUUUUUCCAGUAUCAUAUUCAUGAAGGAGCUAAACUCUUGUUUCAUUCCUGUUACCAGACCUUCCAUUCUUUUGUUGUUCUCCUCUAAUUUUGCUCGCAACUCCUCGCGAAGCUGCUGUUGUUGGUGGUGCGAAGCCUGUAGACCUUCUAUCACCUUCUGGAGCUUGGAAUCUUGUUUCUUGAUCUGUUCUUCCAAAGUCUUGAACCUGGUACUCUCCGCCAUUGCUGCUCAAUUCCAAGGAUUCGACAAGCUCUGAUACCACUUGUCAGGCUUCUACUACCAUAGCCCUAAUUUGAAAAAGGAGGAGAAGCUCGGAAGAGCUGAGAGAGAGAGAAGAUUGAGGAGAAGUACAGAGAGUAGAGGAACUAGAGAGAGAAAGUAAGGAAAGAGGAAAAUACAAUUGUUAUUCUCUGAUACCUCUUUUGCCAAUCAUACUAGUACAAAUAGGAUAACUAACUACCGCCACCCAAUUUCUGUUACAUCCCAUGUGCCUAUUCCUAACUAACUCAGCUAUUCAUACGACACCGUUCUACUUAUCCCCUUUUAUUACUAACAUUUCUCAAAACGACAGUGUUGCAUUGCAAUUAUUCCUCACACGUCACCGUUACAAUCAUUGUUAAUUUGGCUUAGUUCUUCUGUCUUGACAUGAUGAUAGAACAAGGGGCCUAGCGCCUGCAGCCUGACGGUUGUUUAAAUGGUAUUGCCAGCAACAAAACACGGGAAAAAAUUUUUAAAAAAAAAAAAGAAGAUGUUGUCAUUUAAGUGUGAAAUUAAAGUGGUAAAAGGUGAUUACUGAUAUUAUAUUUAAUGCUUGAUGUGAUAACAAAUUUUGUAAUCCAUCACAAUAAUGCAAAGGAUAAAAUAGAUCUUACCCCCCGUGGCUUAGCAAUUUUUCACAUAACCCCUGUAUAGUUUCAAAAGUUAUAUAUAACCAUCUCAUAAUUUGGAUUAAAGUGUCAAAAUAAUAGAAAUGAUCAUUGUAACGGAAUCCAUAAAAUAUCGAAAUUAUCCUUAUUUAAAAACUAAAAUGCGUGAAGUGAUAAAAAUAUAUAAACAUAAUAUACAUGAUACUCUGACCCCAUAUGAUUUUAUAUUUUACCAUAUAACCCCAUUGUAAUUUAGUAUUUUACCAUAUAACCCCCUUAUAAUUCUUAAAAUAUAUACAUAACCCGCUUUAGUUAAUAAAUAAUUUCAACUUUACAUAGAAGUACUUUUGAUAUUUUACUUGAAUUCAUUAUGGAAUGCAAAUUCCGUCAUUUUGAUACUUUAAUCCAAGUUAUGAUGGAAUUAUGUAUAAUUUUUAAAAUCAUAGUGGGGUUAUAUAAAAAAGUGCUAAACCAUGGAGGGAUAAAGUGUAUUUUGCCCUAAUGCUAAUGAUAUAUUGGUGUGUUUAGAUUGAAAUGUUUUGAGAUAAAAUAAUUUGCUUCACAAAUUUCAAUCACCUUUUCAUCUCGCAUACAUCACAUCACAAAAAUUGUUACAGUAAUUAUCUCAAAUAAAUCACCCAAAUAAACUCAUAUCCAAUCAAAUAGUGUUGUUUGUUUGCAGCUUACGGGAUUAUUAUAUCAACAUUGGAAGCUGAAAACUAGAAUAUGAAAACUGAAGAUUGAAAUUUAAGUGCUAAAACAUUUAGGUUGCGUUUGGAUUGAGGGAUCUAAUCAAGGGUUUGAAAUCCUCUUGAAUCCCUCUAGUUAUUUAUAUUAUUUAUUAAGUAUUUGAAUUUGAAAAUUACAAAUUAUUCUAGUAUUUAAAAUAUAUUUUAAUAAUUGGUAUAUUGGAUAGUUAAAUGCCUAUUAAACAAUCCAAACAACUAAAGCCAUUUAGAUGGAUUUCAAAUUCCUCAAUUCAAACGAAUAUUGAAUUUACAAUGUCAUAUCUAUUAUAUCCAUCUGACAAUCAGCUAAACUUGAGCGCUGAAUUUAAGUAUUCUAUUCUAUGGAUAUUAUUUAGUUAAUAUUGAUAUUGUUAUUUUGUUUGUUAAAUUACUAUUUUAGAUUUUUUUUUAAUUCCUACUCUAUUCGAACACAGAAUAUGUGUAUGCAGGAGAGACAUGGGGAGUAUGCGUGAAGAAAAAAUGUGCUUGUGAAGAAGAGCUCCACUUGCAUAAAAAAUGCUACGAGCUUUUAAUUUUUUUUUUUUGUUUCUUAAAUGCCACGAAUUUGCGUGAAGUAGGUUUUCUUACACUAUAUAAAUCAAAUUACAAAUGGACCCAAAAAUAGAUGAUCUGAAUUGCGCAAUCCAAAACAUAUGAAUAUGGUAAUCCACGGCCUUUUUAAGGUUUUUGAAAGCAGCAUUUGGUUGAAGAUUUUUUUUUUUUUUUUGUAAUUUUUUUUCAGCAGGAAAGAGGUAGAAUUUUAGAAGUGAGGAUGGAACAUGAUAUUAAAACCCAAAACCUCUAGAAUCCUCAAUCCUCGAAAUAUAAUCCUGUCACAUAAACAUUUUAUAUAAAGCUUAAUGCAUAGUCUAUCAAUUUAAAUUCUAAUUUCUUAAUUUUGAUUUAGUGAAGUUUUCAAGUCAAGCACCCGAUACCACCAAUUGCCUCCAAUGAGAAAACCAAUCUACCGUAGCAUCCAUGCCCACAGCUCUGGUGCCAAGAACAUCACAAAAUUAAUCAACAAUAAAUUUUCAUUUAUGAAAAUUGACACAAGAAAUUAAACAAGAAAUUAUUCCUCAUCCAAGUAAAUCACAAAGCAACAUUAGUUUUCUAAGCUGUUGUUACAAAGGAGAUUAUAAUCUCUUUGACAACCUGACACAGGACCUUAAGUUUAGGAAGCUCAAAACCAUCAAUACCAUGAUAGCCUCCUUGUGCAAACUUAGCCACUAAAGGUACACCCUCGUCCUCCAACAUCUAUACAAGCUCAACUUGACGAUCAAACAAUGGAUCACCAUCAUAGCCAGUCACCAAAAUCUUCCGUCCCAAAUCUUUAAUAUGAUCGAAUUGUCCGGGUUUGAUGCUCAAUACUGGAUUGCAAAAUCCAUGAUCUCGGUCAGCGCCUACGGGCAAUGAAAGUUCCCACAUGAUGUCACUAACACAGGGUGGUACAAUCUUGUCAUUUACAGCCCUCAACUCCGAAUCCGUCCUCUUGUUGCCACCAAAGAAUGGUUGGUGCAAAAUCACGCCUUUAAUGUUCAAAGGCUGAAGAUCAUCAGCAGAAGAAGGUGCACUAAGACCAACAUGAUAGGCUAUGUUUCCUCCUGCACUAGUGCCCAUGAGGAAACUGUUUGAUAAAUCUGCAUACUUUGUCAACCACUCUCUUGAGAAUUCUUGAUCCAGUGCAAAGCUUGGAGGCAAUCUUCAAAACUUGAGAGUUUACAAUAUAAAGUAUUCAAAAUUAAGAGUUUAAGGUGCAAAGUUUUCAAAAUUUAAAUUUAGAAUACAAAGUGAGAAACUGGUUUAAGUUCAGGAAUGCAAUGCAGAAUUUGUCCCAUCAAAAAAAGUCUAACCUUUUGCUAAAAAAGGGAUAAUUUCAAAAACUUCCCCUGAGAUUUGUGGCAAUAUCACUUUAUACCCCUGAACUUUGAGUAGUUUUAAAAAUUUAAGAAUUUCGAACUUUCUAAUUUUUUUUUUUUGGACAGACUUGACUAUCAUAGACAGACACAACUUUCUAAAAUUAUAUUUACAAACUCAUUUGAGGUUUUUUUGAAAACAUAACACGAACUUUCUUUAUUUCAAUGUAUUUUUAGAUGAAUUCAGAAUUUUUUAAGUAUUCUAACUUUUUUUUCCAAAUUGAUGGCUUGAGAACAAGAGAAAAAUAAAUUAUUAACAAUACAUUUAGAAACGAAUUUGAGGUACUUUCAAGGCACAAAAUAUUAUUUUUUUCUAAUUAUAAUAAUUUUUUCUUUUGCAUUCCCUUGUCUAGACUGAUGACUUCAAAAAUUACAAAAGGUCUUUCAACCUAAUUAAUAUAUUGUAAUUCUUAAGGAUGAAAACUAAAGGUCCACAAAAAAGUGUAAUUUUGGAAUAUAAAUAUUUUAUCUCUCCCAAAAUGAGCUCUUAAAUCAUAGUAUCUUUUAAAAUGGGCUGAUAAAGUUAUAAAAAGUUGAAAAGUAAGGGACAUAUGUGAGAUUUCUUAAAGUUUAGAGGUGUCAAAUGACAUUGUCGUAAACCUCCGGAGAGGUUUUUGAAAUUAUCCCAUAUAUAUAUUUAUAUAUAUUUCAUGGGACGUAAUCCAUCACUUCCAUUUUCUUUUUUUCUUUUUUUGCUAUCUUGUGAGAAAGUAAUCAAAAUAAUGAUAAAAACGCUCUAAAAAGCAUUUUGCUAGCAAAUUUUCUUUUCAUGUAAACACGUGGGUUUAUUUAAUCUUCCAAAGCAACAAAAACAAUAGUUGCUUUUAUUAAUUCAAGAUAUAAAUGAUAGGAGAUUGAUGGAACCAUUUAAUACGUAUGAAAAAGUGUUAUUGGCUUGUGAGAAUAGCAAGCAUUUUGAAGACAUUUGUAAAACUAAAUCUUCAGUACAAAGAAUCGAUUUCAAUAAUUUUGUAGAAUAGACAUCGGAGGUCCCUUGAUUUAUAUAUUUCAUCUCCAUGGUUGGGUCAAUUUUGGGUUAUAUAAAUUAUAUCUAAGAUCUGAUUUUGUCUCUCUUUUUUUUUUCUGAUUUUGCCUCUUCACUUAUGUUACUCCCUGUAUAGCCAGCAAUAACGACAUCCUUCUCUACUACAACUAUCAAUCAUGCAAUUAUCAAUUUCUGAAAAAACGAAUUAUCUACUGUCAAUCAUGCAAUUAUUGGUCUUGGAAUUUUUAGUUUUUGACUCGACUACAACUAGAAACUUUCAAUACCGACUAAUACAUUUCUAUCCUACGAAUACUGGCAUAUAACAAUAGUUUUUUGGAUCGUUGCUCAAAUACUAUAAGAUUUUAUUAAUAAAAACAUCUAUCAUUUUCGAAAAAAAAAAAAAGAAUACUGGCAUAUAACACUAGUUGUGAAGAACCCCCCCCUCCCCCCCUCCCCAAAAAAAAAUUUUUUUGGGUAAGGGCACAAUAUUGUUAUAAUGCACUUUAAGAAUAUGUUGACAUCUUUUUCAUAUUUUUAGGCAUGGAUAAACUUGGAAGUCUUGCCACCUCUAUAUUUGACCAUCAGUAUAGUUGGUGGCUGUCAAACUAUCAAAAAUAAAAUUUAUAUUAAGACUUACUCUCAAAACUAAACGAGUAUAGUGCUGAGUAGGGUCGUUUUUCAGGGAACUGAUAGAUUUAUUACACACAGAGAAUUUGGGGGGUUUUAGAAAGGAAGACAAAAAGAACAAAUUAAAGAUAUAAGAGUACUAAAUUUCCAAUUGCAAGAAAGUGCAGUAGUUAAAGAAUAUAAUAAACAAUUAAUUGACACAACCUAGUCAAGGAAAUAAUUUCGGCACCGAUUCACGCAAUUGAUUAUAGAUGCCAAGAAUAAUUCACACGCUCGCAAAUAAAUUGGUUCUAGCAAUUUAGCAACCGUCAAACUACCAAUAUCUCCUUAAUUUUACGGUAGUCCAAAGACGCUCUUAAACUACUCCCUUGUAAAAUAGAUAACCCCAGAGACGCUCGAAAGAUUUAAUCUAUUCACAGUUUUAGGAAUUAGAAAGACCCAAUUCUAAUUAACAAACACACAUGCGGGUUCAUUUAAACUAGAUUAACUAUUCUUACGACAUAGAUUAGACUGCUUGCGAGGCAAUGAAAUUGUGCCAUUUGCCACUAAUUUAAGACAAUCAAGUGAUACGCACCCCUUGUCCUAAUUGGCAGUAUACUAUUCAGACAAUUGAAUAACUGGCCACAUUAAUCCAAUAAACCCAAACAAUAAUAGGCUAUUGAAACAAAGAAUAAUUAAAUACUCACGAAUGCCGAAUUUAGAAUAAUUAAAAAGACCUCACAAUUGUCUAUGCACCGGGUCUUGAUCAUUCCUCAACUAAAUAAAGGCGGCUAGCCUUGCCUCAUAACGAUGAUGCAAUUGACAGUUUUAAUGGAAUAGAAUUUAGUUCAUGAAAAAAGUAAGAAAAACGGUACAACCGCUGGUCCCUAGUUUUCGUUCAAAAGGAGAAGACAAUGCUCCAAAGACAAAAGAUACCUAAUCCUAGUCUAUUGUUGUCCUAUUUAUAGUUUCGCCGCCACCUUCACUUUUGCUAAACAAGUGUUUGUUUUUUUUUUUUUUGUAAGGAAUCCUUUUCCAUAUUUUUCUCCUUGCUUUGUUGCGAAAAGGUUUCUUGAAGAUGUCUCCUAAUCCCACGCAACUUCGAGUCCUACAGAGCAUGGAACUAGGUGUCCCAAGAGGAUGGAGCAGCGGAGAAGGAAGGACCUGCCUGACCAGCCUCCGAGGUGGACACAGUGGGGGGAACCCGGGGUUGGGGCACACCCUUUCCAGGAGGUGUGAACUGAUAGGCCUCCCCCACCUUGCGAAUGACGCCUAUCCGUUCCAAAUUGCACAGGUCCAAAGACUCAAGCUCGCGAGCCCUGGUGAGCUUAUGGUCCUUAUCCAGGUCAAACACUCCCAAGUGGACGGCCGAGUAUGUGAUGAGUGAGCCCAUAAUCAAGGGCUUAUGGCGCUUGCGGAGGACGGACUACAACUAAGAGACUACCGAACAACCAAAGUUGACCUAGACCUUAUUACGCAUGCACCAGAGGAAAUAAAAUUUAGCUUUGGCGAGAGUGCCAGAGGAAUCUUUUCGGCCGGAAAAGUUAUAGGCUAGAAACCUAUGAAUGACCUUCAGUACUGGAUCCUCAAGAUAGGAGGCCUUGGACUAACUCGGGUCGUAGAGUUGAGUAUUCGUGGACCACUUCCUCCAGAUCUCGAUAUAAUUGCUCGCAAGGGUUUGGUGAAGUCGCACGCCCUAUUGAUAUACGUGUCGGAGGAGAGAGUGUCCUCACUCACAAAGCCCAGGAUCAUGUUGAACUCAUUAAUAGAAUGUGCUUGUGGGUACCCCACAACCUAUAUUUGACCACCCCCGGUGUAUCUAAUGCCAGAAAAUCAGAUUUCUCAAAUUCGAAAGUGACAUAAAACUCAUAACAGAACUCCUCGUAUGAGGGGUAGUCAAUAACCAGAAACCGUUCCCACCCAAUGGCAGAGAACAACUGCUCCACUUUGCUAACAAUGUUCAACUGGUCCAGAGUCGGGGGAUGGAAACACUUGCAAGGGACAAAUGGAUGUACCACCAGGGAGCUCAAUCGCUCCUUCUGUUCAUGCGUGAGGUCAUUUAGAGGUUCUUCCCACACCUCAGGAAACAAAGUACUCCUACAUAGAUCCAAACGGAACCUAAUGGGGGGUUGAAUCGGGGCCCGCCUCUUAUGAGGCUUGGAACCUGAUGACUCAGAUAGAUUAGGUUUUUCCGGAGCCAUGUAAGGGCAAAGAUGUCAAUAACAAAGGCACAGAGCCGACAAGAAAACACCAAAUGGAGACAAGGGACCACAAAUAACAAUCCCCACAGUCAACAGUCAACAAACAAUUGAUGGAGGAGAAACAAAGAUACCCCACUGGCGUCACCAAGGCAAAUGAAGAUAAUAAAGGGCAGACACGGGACCCUCCGAAAUGCAGCCAAUAGUCAAAUGCACCCAAUCACAACCAACAAAUAUCCCAAGCCCAAUGAGAGGAUGAAAUUAAAUAGGAGAAACUCCAAAUUCUAGUCACCAGUUGGCAAAAAAGAGAGUAGAUAGGAGUACCACUGUGUAAAGCCGCGGAGAUCAGCCACGGCAAGCGAAUUCCAAGAAGGUUGGUACGGCGGUUGGAGAUGGCGACGGCAGAUGUCCGUGGGUCACGUGUGGGAAAAUGAGAAACACUGCUUGUGCAACGGCAGUGGGUUGCAUCGUGGGUGCGGAGGCGACGUGCAUGAGGGAGAGUGAGACAGGGCGAACCGCAGUGGCAGUGGUGUGCGGCGAUGUGCGUGGAGGCUGCAGUGGAACAGCGACGUUGGCAGCGGUGCACUGGGACGGCAGUAGAUGGUAGAGCGGUCGGCCGCAGCGGAUGCUAGCGACGGACGGCCGUGGGCGCAAGAGGGAGAGGGAGAGACGUACGGGAGCAAACGAACAGUGGCGGCGAUGGUCGAAUAUUGCAGCGAAAAGAGGAGAAGACCAGGGGCGACUAUAGGAAGAAAAGAAAGAAAAGACAAGAAAGGAAAGAGUAGAAAAGUAGGGUUCAAAGUGGGUCCAAUCACUAUUGACUUUUUUCGUUUUUAUAUGCCGCGAUGCUCAUUAAGGCAUGGGCACGCCUUGGAAGCCGAAGUCGUCGGCCUCCUUCAUUGUAACGGGGCCGAUGCAAUUCGCAGUGCGGUGUGAGCACGCCUUGAAAGUAUAAGUCCUCUGUUUAUCACUUUUUAAAAACGCCCAUUUGAAUUUAAUACAAGGUGUAGGCAAGCCCUGGAACGGAAAGUUUUCUGCCCCAGAAUUUUGCCUCUAAUCCAAAAUAAAACGGCACAGAACAUACCCAUGACCUAUAAUAGAGAUUUCUGUCAAUAGAACCCCAAAACAACCUGAAUUUGAACACUCAAAAACAUGAAGUAAAACACAAAAAAUGACAAAAAAAUUGAAACUCUUGGAUUACCUUCCAAGUAGUGCCUCUAUUUAACGUCUAUGGCCAAACCAAAAGUACUUUAACAAUUUAUGUUGAAACGGGGUCAAGCAAAUUAACCUCCUCCACAGUGCCAAUUUCUGAAACAUCAAUAAACGGCUUGAGACGACGACCAUUAACUUUAAAACAUUUGUUAGUCUCUAAACUGUUAAUUCAACUGCACCAUUGGAAAAAACGUGGACAACAACAUACGGUCCAAUUUAUCGGGACCGCAACUUUUCUCGCAUAAAUUUCAACCGAGAGUUGAAUAGAAGUACCUUUUGACCUAUAGAGAAUUGCUUAUUAUACAAUAGUUUAUCAUGGAUGAAUUUUGUGGGUUCUUGUAAAGUUGGGCAUUGUCGUAAGCCUCCAAACGGAUUUUUUCCAACUCUUGAAAUUGGAACUUCCUUUCCUUGCCAUCUCUAUCCGCGUUCAAAUUGUACUACUUAACUGUCCAAAACGCACGAUACUCAGGUGCAACAGGUAAAUUACACAUCUUACCAUAAACUAACCUGUAUGAAGACAUUUCGAUUGGCGUUUUAUACGCCGUGCGAUAUGCCCACAAUGCAUCAUCCUAUCGGGUACUCCAAUCCUUGCGAUUUAGGUUGACUGUUUUCUUCAAAAUAUUCUUAAUCUCGCGAUUAGAGAUUUCAACUUACCCGUUGGUUUGCGGGUAGUAGGUAGUACCCACUCGAUGGUGAACUCUAUACUUACGCAUCAGUGCUUCAAUGGUAUGAUUGCAGAAAUGAGUACUUUGAUCACUGAUGAUUGCGCUUGGCACACCAAACCUACUAAAAAUGUUGGACAUAAGAAAUCCUGCACCAACUCGUGAAUCAUUAGUUCGGGUAGCCUUUGUUUCUACCUAUUUCGACACAUAGUCUACGGGUAAAAUAAUAUAAAAACAACCAAAAAAACUGGAAAACAGUCCCAUGAAAUCCAUACCCUAGACAUCAAAGAUUUCACAGAAUAACAUAGGCACCUGAAGCAUUUCAUCCCAGUGAAAUAAACUCCCAAACUUUUGGCAUUUUUCAUAUCUUUUUUGCAAAACAAGAAAGCAUCACGAAACAGAAUUUGCCAAUAAAAAUUACAAUCAAAUAUUUUUCGAGCAGUUCUUUUAGAAUCAAAGUGACCACCAUAGAUAUAACUAUGACAAUGAGUAAGUAUAAAGGGAAUUUCUUCAUUGGAAACACAUCGAUAAAUGAUCUGGUCCGAAUCUAUUUUUCACAAAUAGGGCUUAUCCCAAAUGUAAUAUCGAAAGUUCUGUAUUAUUUUAUCCUUCUUAUUAUUAUUCAUACCAUUUUAAAAUUUGUGACUAACCAGAAAGUUGACAAUAUCAGCUUAUCAAGGUUCCUUACCUCUAAGUUGAAAUAAGUGUUCGUCUAGAAAUACCUCGGAUAUGGGCACUUCCUCUUCUUCUCGAAUUAUCGGCUCAAAUGGCUUGUCACUGAAUUAUCCACUCAUUUUCGAUCUUUGAUUUUCCAAUCAUAUUCUUGCAACAGGAGUAUCCAACAAAUGAGUCUUGGCUUGGACUUCUUCUUCGUCGAGAGGUAUUUCAAGGCUGUAUGAUCAGAGAAAAUUGUUACUUUCAAUCUCAACAAAUACGAUCGAAAUUUCUCAAAAGCGAAAACAAUCGUUAAGAGCUCCUCCUCCGUGGUGGUGUAGUUGUAUUGCGCUGGCGAUAGCAUUUUUGAUGCAUAAUAAAUGACAUGGCUACACUUCUCAUUUCUCUGACCGAGUACAACUCCCACAGCAUACUGACUGGCAUCAGACAUAAGCUCGAACGGCAGGCUCCAAUCCAGAGGUUGAAUGAUUGGUGUCGUGGUCAACAUGCUUUUUAGUUUAUCAAAGGACACUUUGCAAGCAUCUCCAAAAUCAAAUGGUGCCUUCUUUUGAAGUAGUCGAGACAAUGACUGUGCAAUUCAUGAGAAAUCCUUGAUAAAUCACCUGUAAAAACCUGUAUGCCCAAGAAAACUACGAAUCUCCUUGACAUUUGUGGGAUAAGGUAAGCUAGUAAUCAAAUCAACCUUUACUUUAUCAAUUUCAAUACCCCUAGACGAAACAACAUGGCCCAAAACUAUACCCUCCUUAACCAUAAAAUGACAUCGCUGCCAAACUUUGUUAAAUGAUGCAAGCAUUAAUCAAAAGAAUCACCAUAAAUAGUGAAAUCAUCCAUGAAUAUUUCUAUAUAAUUUUCAAUCAUGUCAGAAAACAAAACUCAUCAUGCAUCUUUGAAUAUUCUUGGAGCAUUACACAACCCGAAAGGCAAACGCCGAUAAGCAAAAGUGCCAAACGGGCAAAUGAAAGUGAUUUUGUGUUGGUCCUUUUGGGCAACAAUAAUUUGAUAGUACCUAGAGUAUCCAUCAAGAAAGCAAAAGAAAUACUUACCUGUCAAUCUCUCGGGCAUCUCAUCGAUAAACGGUAAUGAAAAAUGGUCUUUCCUUGUGGCAGCAUUCAACUUUUUGAAGUCUAUACACAUUCUCCACCUAUUUUGGAGUUCAUUGGUACCAACUCAUUCUUCUCAUUCCGCACAAGUGUAAUGCCGAUUUUUUUAGGGACAACAUGCACUGGACUUACCCACUCACUAUCGGAGAUAGAAAAAAUAAUUUCUAACUCCAAUAGCUUGAGAAUCUCCUUCAUUACCACCUCUUUCAUGGCUGGAUUAAGCUUCCUCUAACGUUCCCUUACCGAUUUUGCAUCUGACCCAAGUAGAAUAUGGUGCAUGCAAACGGAUGUAUUUAUACCUUUAAUAUCUGUCAACAUCCGUCUAAUUGCUAGUUUAAACUCCCGAAAAACUUGUAAGAGUUUUUCUUCUUGUACUACUGUCAGAUAACUUGUAAUGAUGACCGGCAGAGUGUCAUGAUCUCUCAAGUAAGCAUACUUUAAAUUCUUUGGUAAUUCUUUCAAUUCCAACUCCGGUGCCUGUUCAACAGAGGGCAAAAUUCUCUCAUUAGAAGUAAACAAUGGUAAAAAUGAGUCUACUGACCUGCCAAAAAUGUAGGAAGUGAAUGAAAUGACAUAAUUGUUUCUACAGUAUCCUCAUCAUCCAUGUUUUCUACUUCCUCAUUCGUCUUGCUCUGUUGUAACACGAAUUUCAACUUGUCCUUCAUAAAAUUCUGCUCAAAGUCAUCUUGCACAAUUGAAUUAGUGAGACAAACAUAAUUAACAGACUCAAUAUCAUCCGAAUAUUUCAUUGCAUAAAAAAUGUUUAAAAUAAUUGUCUCCUCGUCAAAUUUUACAGAAAGGGUACCUUCAUGCACAUCUAUCUUGGUUCUGGCCGUACUCAUGAAUGGUCUAUCCAGAAGAAGUACAGCUGAGUUAGCUAAGUUAGCUGAGUCAUCAUCAUUCAUGUCAACAAUGUAGAAGUCAGUGGGAAAGAUAAACUCGUUAACUUUCACUAGCAUGUCUUCCACUACACCCUCAGGGUAAACAUUUGACCUAUCGGUUAGUUAAAUUAUUACCCUUGUAUCUUUUAGAGGUCCUAAAUUUAAGAGCCUAAAUAUUGACAAAGGCAUGACGUUAAUAGAUACCUCGAGGUCAAACAUACCUUUUUCUAUCCUUUUCUGGCCUAUGAUGCAUGGUAUAGUGAACAUACCUGGAUCCCUGCAUUUUUGUGGCAAUUUCCUUUGAAGGACUGCUGACACAUUCUCACCGACCUUUAUUUUAUCUUGAACAUUCAACUUGUACCGGUUAGCGCACAACCCUUUAGAAACUUUACAUAUUUUGGUAAUUACCGAAUCGCAUCAAGCAAAAGAAUGUUGAUUUCCACUUUUCGAAAGGUGUCCAAAGUCUCCUGCUCUGACUCCUCUUUCUUGGCUAUAGCCAACCUAUCAGGAAAAUGUGGGUUAAUUUCAUCGAUUUUAGGAACAUCUGGCGGGGUGCUUACCUUUUCUUUCUCAAACUCCCCAUACACUUGUUCAUCUUCCCCUCUCGCUGCUUCCGAUUUUGAGGAUUGCACCUCCUUGCCAGUUCGUAGAAGUAUUGCAAUUGUAUUCUCCUUGGGAUUGGGAAUUACCUGAGAUAGUAGCUUUCCUUUACCAUUCUCAAAGCUGCUCAUUGAAGACGCCAGUUGUGACAUUUGCGUCUCCAAAUUUCGAAUGCUAGCGCGAGUCUCCUGUUGAAAUCUCUGCGAGUCUUGCUGCAUUUGACAAGUGGUAUUGGCUAGUGAUUUGAUCAUAUCUUCAAGGAACAUCCCCGAAUCAGACGCGGAUGGUUGCUGAACUGAUAGUCACUGCUAGAAUGGUUGUUGAAAAUCCGAGGGUCUUGGAGCAUAACUGAAAUUGGGGUACGUAGCUCCGCCACCCUGGGUUGUGUAUGGGUGCAUACGGGUCAUUUCUUCUUUAGGGAGGUCCAGGCAGACCUCCCAUGGGGCUGGCUUGCUCGUGAGGGUUUUCUUGAAGGGUCAGGCAUAUAUCGGUCGCAUGUUCAGGUGCAACACAUAUCCCACAUGCUUUAGCUACUUGUACUUGUCCUAUCGCUAUUUGACGAACCAACGUAGUAAGUUCCGUUAAUCUAUUUGCAAGGUCAGAAUGAUUUACUUUAUUUACUCUUCUAGUCACUCCCUCAGAUCUGACUCCAAACUGCUGAAAGUUCUCGGCCAUGUUCGAGAUCAGCCGUUUGGCUUCAUCUGUUGUCUUAUUUACUAAGGCACCACCACUCGCUGCAUCCACCAUGCUUCUAUCCAUAGUUAACAGUCCCUCGUAAAAAUACUGGAUCAACAACUGGUCAGGGAUCUAAUGGUGAGGGCAGUUGACACGCAGCUAUUUGAACCGCUUCCAGUAUUCAUAGAGAAUUUCUCCAUUGGCCUGCCUAACUCCACAUAUCUCCUUUCUGAUGUUGAUGGCCCUAGAGGUUGGAAAGAAUUUCUCAAGGAAUUGCCAUUUCAAUCCUUCCCAAGUAGUAAUGGACCCCGAUGACAAGUAAAACAACCAGUCCUUCGCCUUGUCGCUAAGGAGAAAUGAAAUGCACGCGGCUUGAUUUGUUCUUUCGUAACUCCCUGAAGUUUCAUGGUUGAACAUAUUACAUAGAAUUCCUUCAAGUACUUGUGUGGAUUCUCACCUACAAUACCACGAAAAGUAGGCAAUAAAUGAAUCAACCCAGAUUUUAAUUCAAAAGCCUUCUUAGUGUCAGGAUACGUGAUGCACAGAGGCUGUUGGUUAACAUUCGGGAUUGCCAGCUCCCUCAAAGUCCUUUAGACUGCCAUUGUUUCGUUGGGUCCAGGCAAGUUUGUUUCCAGUUCAACUGAUGAAUCACUUAAGUCCGAGGUUCGUUCAAGUCCAGAAGGUAUUGCGGCUGAAGCUUGUUGUUUUUGCCACUUAGUCUCCUUCGUCAACCUCUUUGCUGUUUUCUCGAUCUCUGGGUUAAAUUCAAGUCUUCCUGUACGGGAUGAUCGAGGCAUAAAAUAGAAGCUAAACAAGCCUACGCAAUAAAUCACUUCAAACAACAACUCCCCGGCAACGGCGCCAAAAUUUGGUGGCUGUCAAACUAUCAAAAAUAAAAUUUAUAUCAAGACCUACUCCCAAAACUAAACGAGUAUAGUAGUGAGUAGGGCCAUCUUCUUAGGGAACCGGUAGAUUUAUUACACACAGAGAAUUUGGGAGGUUUUAGAAAGGAAGACAAAAAGAUCAAAUUGAAGAUGUAAGAGUACUGAAUUUUCAAUGACAAGAAAGUGCAGUAGCUAAAGAAUAUAAUAAACAAUUAAUUAACACAACCUAGUCCAGGAAAUAAUUUCGGCACCGGUUCACGCAAUUGAUCAUAGAUACCAAGAAUAAUUCACAAGCUCGCAAAUAAAUUAGUUCUAGCAAUUUAGCAACUGCCAAACUACCAAUCUCUCUUUAAUUUUACGGUAGUCCAGAGACACUCUUAAACUACUCCCUUGUAAAAUAGAUAACCCCAGAGAUACUCGAAAGAUUUAAUCUAUUCACAACUUUAGGAAUUAGAAAGACCCAAUUCUAGUUAACAAACAUACAUGUGAGUUCAUUUAAACUAGAUUAACUAUUCCUACGACACAGAUUAGACUGCUUGCGAGGCAAUGAAAUUGUGCCAUUUGUCACUAAUUUAAAACAAUCAAGUGACACGCACCCCUUGUCCUAAUUGGCAGUAUACUAUUCAGACAAUAGAAUAACUAGCCACAUUAAUCUAAUAAACCCAAACAAUAAUAGACUAUUGAAACAAAGGAUAAUUAAAUACUCACGAAUGCCGAAUUUAGAACAAUUAAAAAGACCUCACAAUUGUCCAUGCACCGGGUCUUGAUUAUUCUUCAACUAGAUAAAGGCGGCUAGCCUUGCCUUAUAACGAUGAUGCAAUUGACAGUUUUAAUGGAAUUGAAUUUAGUUGAUGAAAAAAGUAAGAAAAACGGUACAACCACUGGUCCCUAGUUUUCGUUCAAAAGGAGAAGACAAAGCUCCAAAGACAAAAGAUACCUAAUCCUAGUAUAUUGCUGUCCUAUUUAUAGUUUCGCCACCGCCUCCACUUUUGUUAAACAAGUGCUUGUUUUUUUUUUUUGUAAGGAAUCCUUUUUCCUUAUUUUUCUCCUUACUUUGUUGCCAAAAGGUUUCCUGAAGAUGUCUCCUAAUCCCAUGCAACUUCGAAAUACACUUUCCAAUAAUAGUAGCAAGCUCCUAGGGAUAAGUCCCGCAGUCCGUCUCUUGGACGUCACUUUGCAAUCUCUGAUGUGGGCACACUCUGAAAUGAAUAGUCUUUUGGAAAUUGACCUCUUUUCAUCACUUUCGACAUCAAUUGCUUGCAACUGGCACAAACACCAAUUAUGAGCAGAAACCCAUUACUUCACAAAUAAGUGGCCAAAAUUGAGAGCAAAUACCAUCAAAUAAACUGCACAAUUAUCUCACUAUCAAUAGUAUUGUUAGAUUUUAUUUUUUUUUAAAUUUCUCUUAAUAAAAAAGUUUUAAUUUCUCUUAAUUGUAGAAUUAGUUUUAAGAGACACUACAAACUUCACAUAUAUAUAUAUAUAUAUAUAGAUAAUAACACGUAAAAAUCACCAAUUACCUUCAAUCAGAUCAGAAGAAGACCGAUACUGUGGCAUCCAUGGCAUAUAUGACAGUACUAAAUGAGUUUUUAUCGAGUUAAGCAUUAUUAAUUCUUAAACCAUUCUGAACCAGUAUGUGACAAGACUAGGUGCCAAGAACAUUACAUAAUUAAUCAACAUUAUUGAUUUCCAUUUAUGAAACUUGCAAGAAAUUGAGCAACAUGUUGAGAAGUACAAAGAUUUAACAUCAUUGUUCAUUUGGAUAAAUACUCAUCCUGGUAAAAACCUCUG
This 22922-nucleotide long non-coding RNA is filed under the name Coffea arabica (coffee). RNAcentral describes it as "long non-coding RNA (CARA_LNC005844)". The stretch from base 20378 to 20484 matches the Rfam family "Plant small nucleolar RNA R71". Lineage: Eukaryota; Viridiplantae; Streptophyta; Magnoliopsida; Gentianales; Rubiaceae. The record is from RNAcentral.